CGGACGGGUGAGUAAUGUCUGGGAAACUGCCCGAUGAAGGGGGAUAACUACUGGAAACGGUAGCUAAUACCGCAUAACGUCGCAAGACCAAAGAGGGGGACCUUCGGGCCUCUUGCCAUCGGAUGUGCCCAGAUGGGAUUAGCUAGUAGGUGGGGUAACGGCUCACCUAGGCGACGAUCCCUAGCUGGUCUGAGAGGAUGACCAGCCACACUGGAACUGAGACACGGUCCAG
RNAcentral lists this ribosomal RNA (232 nucleotides) under uncultured bacterium. RNAcentral describes it as "partial 16S ribosomal RNA". It matches the Rfam family "Bacterial small subunit ribosomal RNA", at positions 99 to 334 of the family's 1533-position model. The record is from RNAcentral.